GCGAACGCUGGCGGCAGGCCUAACCCAUGCAAGUCGCACGGAUCCUUCGGGAUUAGUGGCGGACGGGUGAGUAACACGUGGGAACGUGCCCUUUGGUUCGGAACAACUCAGGGAAACUUGAGCUAAUACCGGAUGUGCCCUUCGGGGGAAAGAUUUAUCGCCAUUGGAGCGGCCCGCGUCUGAUUAGCUAGUUGGUGAGGUAACGGCCCACCAAGGCGACGAUCAGUAGCUGGUCUGAGAGGAUGAUCAGCCACACUGGGACUGAGACACGGCCCAGACUCCUACGGGAGGCAGCAGUGGGGAAUCUUGCGCAAUGGGCGAAAGCCUGACGCAGCCAUGCCGCGUGAAUGAUGAAGGUCUUAGGAUUGUAAAAUUCUUUCAGCGGGGACGAUAAUGACGGUACCCGCAGAAGAAGCUCCGGCUAACUUCGU
Molecule: ribosomal RNA, 431 nt
Filed under: uncultured bacterium
Lineage: Bacteria
Description: partial 16S ribosomal RNA
Rfam family: Bacterial small subunit ribosomal RNA
Source: RNAcentral